Molecule: long non-coding RNA, 5643 nt
Organism: Bombus huntii
Lineage: Eukaryota; Metazoa; Arthropoda; Insecta; Hymenoptera; Apidae
Exons: 3
Source: RefSeq, a predicted model, not a curated record
CAUAACGAAUGUUCUGACUUCCAUCUCUUCUAGAAAUCAGAUAACUCCGUAUAACUAACUUCGAAGUAGCGCUUUUCAGCAGCUUAAAUUUAAUUAUACACUGUAAUGUUAAAAAUGUAAAUCCGACAGAAAAUAUUUUCCUUGUGUAUUCCUUGAAAAUUCCUUCUUUAUUCAGAAUAUACAUAUAUAAUAUAUAUUUUCUUGGGCAAUAAACGUUAUAUGUAUAUAUAAAAAAAAAACACUAAUUUGGAAGAAAAAUCGGUAGAGUUCCAGCACGAAGACGACAAAUGGGUAUGCAACGCGCGAAACCAAAUAAAAGAUACUCGAACCGAAUAGUACGCGGUAGGAUAUCGUUGCAUUCUCACGUACAGACAAUUUGCAUUGCUGUAUGGAGAAGAGUAGCAGACAGAAGAAUACAAAAUAAAAUUUACGUCGUGAUUCGCGUCAAAGGAGAACUGCCUCCUUUUCUUCGUCUCUCUGUUUCAGUAAUAUUUUAUUCGACUGCUAGAUGAGAAAGGAAAUAUUCGCACGAAGGAAAAAUUACAAAUUGUUCGGAAUGAAAAUUCUGGGAAUUAUUUAUGGCCUUGCGCGAACGAUACGUGUUGAAAGGUAUCGCGCGAUACAGAUGGUACAAGGAAACAGACAAAGGGUCCGCACGAGUGGCUUCGCGAGCAAUCCGUCGGCUGUGAAUAAUUCAUAAAUCAAACAAGCUGGUCGAGGUUGGUCAAGGUGAAACUGGCCUCGCUGCUUAUCUGUGUUUCGUCCCCUUUUUAUUUUCUAGAACGACCAAACCGUCGGCGUGCGACGAAAUGGAACACCGCGUUAAUAGUUUCUGAAAUAUUAUUAUGUCUUUCUUAGUAGAAGCGUAAGAUGAUACGUCCAAAGAUGGCGAGUUAAAACAUACACGUAAUAGCGAUGUUGCACGCUAUUGGUCAUUUUGAAAGAAAUUCUCACGAUUGCUUUCAAGCGUGCGGCUACUUGCGUUACCGUCGGAAAGCGCAGUAACGAAAAUCUUAGAAAUGGUCGUACUUUCUUCGAGUGGUACGUCUGAAAGACACACGGAAUUAGAUUUCUGCUAAACUGAAAAGUUUCGACGCAGAUCUUGUUCCCGAUAUAUCAACGGAGACUGCAGCAAAUAAAUAAUACACGGCGUCAUGCGUUGUAUCGAUUUCAUACGUGCGCGAGAAAUAAAGUAACGCUAGUGGUUUCCAAGAUUUUAAUAUACGUUACGUGCAAAGUUUGGUGUUUGUGAAUGUUCGUUCGUGAAAGAAAGGAAAAGUAACGAAAUUGAAUUCUAGAGGCAGAGGAUGAAGUAAAAAGGAAACAACGGAGCUUAUUUCAGAAGAAAGUUUAUCGGAAACUAGAAAUACGGUUUCCCUCUGCUUCACUCAAAUUUGGAAUCAAACCGAUCCUAUCGUAAUCUGACCAAGAUUUUUUUUAUUGAAUUUCCGAUUCGAAUCUUGAGAGCUUCCUGCUUUAAAAAAUUUCUAUCGUUUUCUUUAGUUACAGUUCGAAAGAAUUUUUGUUCAAACGUUGUAUUUAACGGUCACCGAUCCAAAAUUAUUUGCAUCUUCUGCGAGCUUUUGCUUUUCAACGCAAAUACUGGCUUUGCUAGAUGCUCGCGCAACCGCUAAAAUGAAAGCUCUGUUUCAUUUUCUAUUUCGAUGACCACGAUACUUCGCUCAAAGGGUAAACUAUGUAACUGCAAUGAGAGCGAGAGCGAGAAAAGAGAGAGAGAGGGGGAGGGAUAUAAAGAGCGAAAACGAAGCAAAAGAAAAGGAGAGAUAAAAGGAGAAAAUAGAAAUACGCGGUUUACCGUCUCUAUGCGCCGAUAAGCAACGAACCGCGCACUUUAUUAAAAUUCCUUCGAUACGAAAGUCAUGUAUACCUGCAAUUCGAAUUGAUAUCGAGUUUCACGAUAUUUCUAGCGACCGCGACUAGUCGGAUUUCGCAAACAGACCGCGUUUCGAAAUAACGUACGGAAAGGAAAAUAUCCCACGAGCGAAUUUUCGACAAAUAUACUGUACGUAUACCGAGCUGAUGCUCGGAUCCUCGUCGCAACGAACAAAGUAUGUAUUCUGUCGCAUCUCGUUUUCCAUUUGCAAGAUGUACUUAGCGAGAAAUUACAUAUAUAUAUUCGAUAUAUAUAUAUCGAAUCGAGAAUCGAUUUUCUAAAUUACCGUCCUUCUCUCGUGAUCUAACCUAUUCAGUAAAAUGGCUGCCGGUGAAACAAAGCAAAAGUAAAUAUGUCGAUUAGCAGAUAGUUUGAAUUCUAUAGAAUUUACACCUACCCUCCUUGUGUUGAAAAUUCCAGUGGAAAAAUGUAAUUCACUUCGUCUUCUGGUUUUAUUAUAAAUUCUACACAUUCUAUUCUUUCACCUUUUGUGUUUUCGUUCAUGGAGGAUAACCUUCAACGGCAUGGCGUAGAGAAAAUCGAUUUGUAAUAACCUAAAUCCUUGAGAAAUUUGGUGUGUUCUACCAACCAAAAGAUGGAUACUCCUACGCGUGGCGAAGUGUCUGAAAGCAGUAAGAAUCGGGUAAGGGUUUGCGACUGCAGAAAUCUUUAAAUUCUUGCUAGUCGAGGGGUUGGUCUUUCUAAAAUCCUAUUGACGACUUCUCAUUCGACCCGUGAAUAAUUCAUCCUGAGCCGAACUUCCAAUGGUAACCCAGUGGGGAGAGGAAUCAUGGAUGAAAUCGAAGGAAAGGAUUAACCUGCUGUUCUUUUGUUCGAUUUUGCGAGAGAAAUUCGUCUCUCGUCGUACAAAACGACUACGAGAACGAAUAUAAAGUAGUUGCCUGAAUAUCGUGCAUUUUUAAUUUACCGUUUGAAACAUUAAAUUCUCUUCGUUAAUCGACAGCGAUGCUACUCGUGCUUCAACUCGUUACUGCGAGGUAAUUGUAUCGAAGCUUUUGUUCGUUUACUACAUCGUUAGGGUCGGUUUGAAAGAUGGUGGAAGGAAAAGGAAAGGUGAUUAAACUUCGAAGCUUUGUCAAGUUCGAUCGAUUUAUCGAUCGGUAUGUCAGAAGUCGGCCAAGCAGAGCACUUCCAUUAAAUUUCGUUUCCUCUUUCUUUUCCAGCUAUUCAUCCGGAUGAUAAAGUUUUUAAGCGUUCCGAAAGCCUUGAAAUACUAGCGGUGAAAAAAGGGAUUGAUCGUUCGAGAUUUAUGAAUCGCGUCCCCCCGAGACUACUUUCAACUUCGAUGAGACGAACAAUCGUAAUAUAAGUCGUUAACAAGUCGAGCACAAGACCGAAGAAGAUUGGUUGCAAGAGAAACGUUAUCUUGUUUUUCCAUUGCUUAAAGGUUUCGAAGAAAAGGAAUAAUUAGUUUUCGGUCAUUCUGUACAGAAGUAUCGAGUAUUGAAAGGGCAAAGAAAAUUACAUUGGCUGAUUGCACGCGAUUCGAGCGGUGUAGCAAAGUUUUUGCGGUCAGAGACUCGGUUGAAAUUGAUUUGAGGUCGAAUCUCACUAUAUCUAAAGUUUGUCGCUCGAAAAGCACACAAGCUCGAAGUUCAGCGGCAUCGACAGACCUCUGUUGCUCUAUUUACAUCUACAAAGUUUUAGAGUUGCCGGUUCAACAGUAGCCAACCGAUUUAUCAAUAUCCGAUACAAAUCGGAGAUGCUGAAUUGCGUUAAGGUCUCGACCAAAUCGACUGGCCAUUUCGGGAAUCAAAAUUUCGAUCAACAAAAACAAACAAAAAAUUUUGUCUAAAGCUUAUGCAAAUUGCUGAAAUUUAUUAUCAAAUUACCAUUUAAUAAAAGUUUCAUUUCACCAAGAACAGACAUCAAGUGGCCAACAAGAUUAUGUGAUUUAAUAUGUUAUACUCAUUUUUAGGAGGAUUUUUGGAAAGUAAGUCAAUAGCCCAGUGACGGUUGAAAAACAAUCUAAGCCACUCUAUUGAUAUAGAAAAUGUAGAAAAUUGAGUCAAACGAGACAGACGAUAGAAUGAUAUCACGUUGCAUAAUUAGUGUCAUGAAGUAAAUCUUAUGUUAAAAUAAACAAACCAGACAAAUUUCAAGUAAUUUAUAUUUUAUUUCAAUCCUUUAUAUCCCACUUAUUCUUAAGAAAUGUGUAAAUAGAAAUUUCAACUGUGGCAGCUUCAACGUUACAUUUCACGUUUUCUUUUUCUUUCUUUCAUUUCUUUUCGUUUCUUUUGUUCUCAUUUUCUGUGAAAUCUGAUAGUUCUUUUUAAUUGCCCAACUUUUUGUCUGCUCGGAAUUGCACCGACAAAGGAUGAAAAGAAUUUAUGAAAAUCCGUAGAAAUUCAGAGGACCUGCCCAUCUUAAUCCUCUGUCGCGUUUGAAACAGUCACCAUCUUUGUUGUCUCGUUAUCAUAACCUCUCAGGGCUAUACAUAGCUCUUCAGCAAAACGGUUUGCCGUUAAACCGAAGAGAAGAUAUACAAUGAAAUAUGCAUAGCACUUUGCACGAGGAAAGAAAAAAGCAGGGAGAACGAGGUGCAAUUACGAUUUCUUAAAAAUGUAGGGCAGGACUGUCCUUUAUCAGGAUAGAAGUUUGCUCGGACAAUAGAGCCAGCGUUGAAUUCUAUCCUACCUUGGUCUCUGUACCCGUCUAUUCACCGAGGAUACCUACCGUGGUAAUUAACAGUCACAAAAAACGUGGCGAACAGGACUAAUUUAUUUUUUAGAAUGCAACGAAUUUCAGCACUCCCCUUUCGACUAAUCCAACUGUAGCGGCACUCGAGAACAAAACUUUCCAACGGUUUCGUCGGUACAAAGUAUAUCACCGAAGCGUACGGCUGGCAGUCCUAAUGCGCCAUCGAUAUUUCUACGGUCCUUCCGUCGAAUAUUUCGAAGAAGGCAACAUGGCAACGGUCGCGGACGCCUAACGAACGCGUGCGUAGUGGGGAUAUUGGGCGAUAAAAACAAACGAAUCGGAUUAAGAAAACAGUCGAGUUGUAACCGAGAAGCGAGAAAUGUCAGUUGGAAUCGAGAAUUGUACGAAAACAGUCGAAAACGAGGAUUGUUAAUAAAUAUACUGUUGAACACUAAACGGAAAGAGGUGAACGUGUUUGUGCCACAUAAAGACAUCGUGUCCGUAAAAUCAAGAGUGUUCGUAAUGGCUAACCACACGAGAAAAGGCGCGCAACGAACGCCACAGACCGCGGAGACAUAACCUUUUGUUGACAAUUUCUACGAAAAAUUCGAUGCUCCAUGGCACGUGCGAAUACUAGUACAUUUCUUACUAUUAAUUUGCCGGAUGAUUAAUUAGUCAAGAAAAGAUAAAUUUUCUAACCUGACAUUGAAACAUAUUAAUUAUAAAAGUAAAUGCUACAACAGUUGGACAAUGAAUCUUGAAAAUAUCCUUCAUCUAUGCAUAAUAAUGAUUUAUACAUAAUAUAUUAAAGAUUCCAAGGGAUAAAAGGAAGAUAGAAAGAAUAAUGGAAGAGAAAGAUGAAGAAGAAAUGGCGAAAGAAACAGCACAGAUUAAAUGGUGCAAUAAGCACACGAUUAGCAAAAGGAGUGGCUGGUGGAAAUAAUUUUAGAAUAACACGAAUUUCUAGCAUAGACUCUUAGUACAGUGACAAGUAGUUAGCAUAGCGCAAGAAUAAAGUAUGAAAAGAUGCGUGCGGAAGUAGGAUAAGAAAGUGUGGUUAGAAAAAUUGUAACUAUCAUUUUUUUUGC